CCCAUUUUGAUAAACCUUGGGACCGUGCUCCCCCAAAGAGCAAGUGUCACUCAUAUAUUCUGGUGUCAGAGGCUCCCCGCGUCGGUCGGGGCGUUGGGCGGCAGACGUGUGGAAGUUGUCUGUGCUCAGGUGACAGUGGCCGGGAGGUCUCCCCGCGACGCGCACCGCAUCGGGGCUGCCCAGCGACUGCGGCGCCCGGGACGGCGAGACGCCGCGCUCUCGGACACCUGGCCGCGCGGCCCAGCUUCCCUGCGAGGUUGCAGCCCCGGGGGCACCGCCCACGAAGUUCCAGUCUUCAGAGGGAUCAAUAGGGUUCACCCAACCUGAACAGAAGAAAGAAAACAUGGACGUGUGGGAGAAGGACCAAAGUGCUAGCAUUUUUAUUGUUGGAAGCCCAGAAGACAUUGGAAAAGAGGGACAAAAAAGUUCUAGAAGCUGAGAGAUGUCGUGACUAUAAGAAGAAGCAACGUGUUUUGCCUCUUUAUUGCAAAGUAAUAGAAAUAAUAAUGGGCUAAUGAUGAUGAUGGCUGAAGUUUCCUGACAACCUCAGUGUGUGCUAGGUCCUGUGCUGAGCACUUUAUACAUACUUCUGUCCAGUGGAGCAUAAAAGAAACCUGUUGCGCUUCUCAGAAGAGGUCUACUCAUCAUUGUCGACAGAGAGGCAUGUGAGAAGUCCCAAUUCAGAGCAGUGACAGCCAUUUUUACCCUGGGAAGGCUGAUGAAGAGAGUUCCAGAGAUGCUGGAUAAUAUUUCUGUUGUUGUUAAACUUAGUCGAUGGACAGCCCACCUCCAGACUUCUUGUCAACGGAAUAAUGAACUUUUACAUGAUUUAAGCCAGUUUUUUUUUUUUUUUUCCCCUUGUAAGCAAAAGCAUUCCAAGUGAUACAAGUGGGCUAAGCCUUUUAGGGCCAUUACCUUAUUUAAUCUCAUGGCAGUCCUAAGAAGUAGGUCCCAUCACUUCCCUACUUCUUAGGACCCCAUCUGCAGAUGAGUAAACAGGUCAAGAGAGCUUAUGCACCAGAUCCAAAUCACAGACUCUUAGCAACUCUGUGAUGAUGUCCCUGUUCUGCCUGAGGCCCUGAACCACCUGCGGUCAGGGAGCAUCAGUCACUCUCCCCUGUACCUCUAGGGGGCAGGUGGAUCUCCGGAAAGCCAGUGGAAUGAUUACUAAAGGAAUGAAUGCUCUAUUUUUCACUCCCCAGUUCACUCUAUCCUUUUUUCCAUAUUUGUAUCAAGCCAAUAUAAGACCCUGGUCAAGGGACGAUGCUUGCAAACUAAUAGAAAUAGUAACAAUGAUGAUGGUGAUGUUUCUCUAUGGUUCCAAACAGGCCCAAUGGAAUAAAAAAAUAAACUCCAAAGAGUUGUUUAUAUCUAUAGCAGUUUUGUAAUUUUGGAAAAUGUAAGAAGCCCUUGCCCUGUCAUUACAUAUUCUCAGGGGGCAGCUGUGGUUAGGGACACUCGGGUGUCAAGACUUCAGAGAGAUCGGUAAGUUCUGUCACAAGUCUUUGACAAUACUCUGCCACUCAAAAGCUCUCCUCAUACCCAAAUUUACCUAAACGGUGUCUUAGAUGAAGUUGGCACAAAGUUUUCAGGCUAACUCCCCCUCCCUUUUUCCCCCUUGU
RNAcentral lists this long non-coding RNA (1622 nucleotides) under Canis lupus familiaris (dog). Its description in RNAcentral is "lncRNA (ENSCAFG00000059005.1)". Lineage: Eukaryota; Metazoa; Chordata; Mammalia; Carnivora; Canidae. The record is from RNAcentral.